CUUGGUCAUUUAGAGGAAGUAAAAGUCGUAACAAGGUCUCCGUAGGUGAACCUGCGGAGGGAUCAUUACCGAGUUCAUGCCCACACGGGUAGAUCUCCCACCCUAUGUUAUCAUUACCUUUGUUGCUUUGGCGGGCCGCCAGGCUUCGGUCAGGCUACCGGCUCCGGCUGGUACGCGCCCGCCAGAGGACCCCAAACUCUGAAUGUUAGUGUCGUCUGAGUACUAUCUAAUAGUUAAAACUUUCAACAACGGAUCCCUUGGUUCUGGCAUCGAUGAAGAACGCAGCGAAAUGCGAUAAGUAAUGUGAAUUGCAGAAUUCAGUGAAUCAUCGAAUCUUUGAACGCACAUUGCGCCCCUUGGCAUUCCGAGGGGCAUGCCUGUUCGAGCGUCAUUACAACCCUCAAGCACUGCUUGGCAUUGGGCUCCGCUGCUAACCCAGCGGGCCUUAAAAUCAGUGGCGGCGCCCUCAGGCUCUGAGCGUAGUAAAUCUCCUCGCUAUAGAGUCCUGGUGGUGGUAGUCAUCAACCCCCAACUUUUCUAAGUUUGACCUCGGAUCAGGUAGGGAUACCCGCUGAACUUAAGCAUAUCAAUAAGCGGAGGA
RNAcentral lists this ribosomal RNA (601 nucleotides) under uncultured Helotiales. Its description in RNAcentral is "eukaryotic LSU rRNA". The stretch from base 238 to 391 matches the Rfam family "5.8S ribosomal RNA". Lineage: Eukaryota; Fungi; Ascomycota; Leotiomycetes; Helotiales. The record is from RNAcentral.